CCUACGGGAGGCUGCAGUGGGGAAUAUUGGGCAAUGGGCGCAAGCCUGACCCAGCAACGCCGCGUGAAGGAAGAAGGCUUUCGGGUUGUAAACUUCUUUUAAGAGGGAAGAGCAGAAGACGGUACCUCUUGAAUAAGCCACGGCUAACUACGUGCCAGCAGCCGCGGUAAUACGUAGGUGGCAAGCGUUGUCCGGAUUUACUGGGGGUAAAGGGCGUGCAGCCGGGAAGACAAGUCAGAUGUGAAAUCCCGCGGCUCAACCGCGGAACUGCAUUUGAAACUGUUUUUCUUGAGUACCGGAGAGGGCAGCGGAAUUCCUUGUGUAGCGGUGAAAUGCGUAGAUAUAAGGAAGAACACCAGUGGCGAAGGCGGAUGACUGGACGGCAACUGACGGUGAGGCGCGAAAGCGUGGGGAGCAAACAGGAUUAGAUACCCGAGUAGUC
Molecule: ribosomal RNA, 442 nt
Filed under: uncultured bacterium
Lineage: Bacteria
Description: partial 16S ribosomal RNA
Rfam family: Bacterial small subunit ribosomal RNA
Source: RNAcentral